RNAcentral lists this ribosomal RNA (253 nucleotides) under uncultured bacterium. Its description in RNAcentral is "partial 16S ribosomal RNA". It matches the Rfam family "Bacterial small subunit ribosomal RNA", at positions 524 to 776 of the family's 1533-position model. The record is from RNAcentral.
UACGUAGGGUGCGAGCGUUAAUCGGAAUUACUGGGCGUAAAGCGUGCGUAGGCGGUUCCUCAAGUCCGUUGUGAAAGCCCCGGGCUCAACCUGGGAAUGGCAGUGGAAACUAGGGGACUGGAAUCUGGCAGAGGGGGGUGGAAUGCCGCGUGUAGCAGUGAAAUGCGUAGAGAUGCGGCGGAACACCGAUGGCGAAGGCAGCUCGCUGGGACGGUACUGACGCUGAGACGCGAAAGCGUGGGGAGCAAACAGG